This 200-nucleotide long non-coding RNA is filed under the name Elaeis guineensis (African oil palm). RNAcentral's name for it is "long non-coding RNA (EGUI_LNC060136)". Lineage: Eukaryota; Viridiplantae; Streptophyta; Magnoliopsida; Arecales; Arecaceae. The record is from RNAcentral.
AGACCGCUCGUAGUAGAAGUUCGGAGUGGACCGCUCGUAGUAGAAGUUCGGCUCUCUCGGGAGCUCGGGUGGAGUCUGGAAGGCGGUCGACUACCGUAGCAACUUGGAUGAAGUCUGGUUACUGUAGAAAUCUUCGUUGUCGGAGAAGCUCGGAUAUUGAUGAAGUUCAGAAGAAGUUCGGAGUAGGGUCGUCCGCGGCC